This 243-nucleotide ribosomal RNA is filed under the name uncultured Actinomycetales bacterium. Its description in RNAcentral is "partial 16S ribosomal RNA". It matches the Rfam family "Bacterial small subunit ribosomal RNA", at positions 88 to 334 of the family's 1533-position model. The record is from RNAcentral. Lineage: Bacteria; Bacillati; Actinomycetota; Actinomycetes; Actinomycetales.
UACUCGAGUGGCGAACGGGUGAGUAACACGUGGGUGAUCUGCCCUGCACUUCGGGAUAAGCUUGGGAAACUGGGUCUAAUACCGGAUAGGAGCCAUCUUUAGUGUGGUGGUUGGAAAGUUUUUUCGGUGUAGGAUGAGCUCGCGGCCUAUCAGCUUGUUGGUGGGGUAAUGGCCUACCAAGGCGGCGACGGGUAGCCGGCCUGAGAGGGUGUACGGCCACAUUGGGACUGAGAUACGGCCCGG